AUUGAACGCUGGCGGCGUGCCUAACACAUGCAAGUCGAGCGGUAACAGGUGUAGCAAUACAUGCUGACGAGCGGCGGACGGGUGAGUAACGCUUGGGAAUCUGCCUAUUAGUGGGGGACAACCCGGGGAAACUCGGGCUAAUACCGCAUACGCUCUACGGAGGAAAGCCGGGGACCGCAAGGCCUGGCGCUAAUAGAUGAGCCCAAGUCGGAUUAGCUAGUUGGUAGGGUAAUGGCCUACCAAGGCGACGAUCCGUAACUGGUCUGAGAGGACGACCAGUCACACCGGAACUGAGACACGGUCCGGACUCCUACGGGAGGCAGCAGUGGGGAAUAUUGGACAAUGGGCGAAAGCCUGAUCCAGCGACGCCGCGUGGGUGAAGAAGGCCUGCGGGUUGUAAAGCCCUUUCAGUGGGGAAGAAAAGCCUCGACCUAACACGUCGGGGUCUUGACGUAACCCAUAGAAGAAGCACCGGCUAACUCUGUGCCAGCA
Molecule: ribosomal RNA, 492 nt
Filed under: uncultured bacterium
Lineage: Bacteria
Description: bacterial SSU rRNA
Rfam family: Bacterial small subunit ribosomal RNA
Source: RNAcentral